RNAcentral lists this long non-coding RNA (417 nucleotides) under Nicotiana benthamiana. RNAcentral's name for it is "long non-coding RNA (NBEN_LNC040206)". The record is from RNAcentral. Lineage: Eukaryota; Viridiplantae; Streptophyta; Magnoliopsida; Solanales; Solanaceae.
AAUCUGCAAACUUAGAAUGGAAGUUGGAAGUAUUAACACAUUGAAAUUAAUUUACAUAAGCAUCAUCUCUUUUCUUCAGUUGAAACUAUAAACAUCACAACUACAAACAAAGGACAAAUGUCGACUACAAAGUUACGUAUACAGAUUGCUUGGGCAGAAGAGGUAUUCUUCAAACCAAUACAAAUAGCAAAAAUUAUAUAAGGGAAAUAAAAAGAGGAACCAUUUUUCACCACUCUCCUCUUGGGAAUAUUCAUACUUAUCAUACACACAGAAGGCACAUCAGUGUUAAGGUUCCAGCUGCAAAAGUAGACUACAAAGUUAGGUAUACAGAAUGCUUGGGCAGAAGAGGUAAUUCUUCAAACCAAUACAAAUAGCAAAAAAAUAUAUAAGGGAAAUAAACAGAGGAACCAUUUUCCA